This 558-nucleotide unclassified non-coding RNA is filed under the name Fusarium avenaceum. Its description in RNAcentral is "sequence contains ITS1, 5.8S rRNA gene and ITS2". The stretch from base 199 to 352 matches the Rfam family "5.8S ribosomal RNA". The record is from RNAcentral. Lineage: Eukaryota; Fungi; Ascomycota; Sordariomycetes; Hypocreales; Nectriaceae.
AAGUCGUAACAAGGUCUCCGUUGGUGAACCAGCGGAGGGGAUCAUUACCGAGUUUACAACUCCCAAACCCCUGUGAACAUACCUUAAUGUUGCCUCGGCGGAUCAGCCCGCGCCCCGUAAAACGGGACGGCCCGCCAGAGGACCCAAACUCUAAUGUUUCUUAUUGUAACUUCUGAGUAAAACAAACAAAUAAAUCAAAACUUUCAACAACGGAUCUCUUGGUUCUGGCAUCGAUGAAGAACGCAGCAAAAUGCGAUAAGUAAUGUGAAUUGCAGAAUUCAGUGAAUCAUCGAAUCUUUGAACGCACAUUGCGCCCGCUGGUAUUCCGGCGGGCAUGCCUGUUCGAGCGUCAUUUCAACCCUCAAGCCCUCGGGUUUGGUGUUGGGGAUCGGCUCUGCCUUCUGGCGGUGCCGCCCCCGAAAUACAUUGGCGGUCUCGCUGCAGCCUCCAUUGCGUAGUAGCUAACACCUCGCAACUGGAACGCGGCGCGGCCAUGCCGUAAAACCCCAACUUCUGAAUGUUGACCUCGGAUCAGGUAGGAAUACCCGCUGAACUUAA